UCGAGGGGCAGCGGGAAGGUUAGCUUGCUAAUCUUUGCCGGCGACCGGCGCACGGGUGAGUAACACGUAUGCAACCUGUCCGGUACAGGGGGAUAAGCGGCGGAAACGCCGUCUAAUACCGCGUGACAACCCGAGGGGGCAUCCCCUUGGGUUCAAAGGAGAGAUCCGGUACCGGCUGGGCAUGCGGCGCAUUAGCUAGUUGGCGGGGCAACGGCCCACCAAGGCGACGAUGCGUAGGGGUUCUGAGAGGAAGGUCCCCCACACUGGAACUGAGACACGGUCCAGACUCCUACGGGAGGCAGCAGUGAGGAAUAUUGGUCAAUGGGCGCAAGCCUGAACCAGCCAAGUCGCGUGAGGGAAGACGGCCCUACGGGUUGUAAACCUCUUUUGCCGGGGAGCAAGCCUGAGCACGUGUGCCCAGGCGGAAAGUACCCGGAGAAAAAGCAUCGGCUAACUCCGUGCCAGCAGCCGCGGUAAUACGGAGGAUGCGAGCGUUAUCCGGAUUUAUUGGGUUUAAAGGGUGCGCAGGCGGGCUGUUAAGCCGGCGGUAAAAAUUCAGGGCUCAACCCUGUCGAGCCGUCGGAACUGGCAGUCUUGAGUGGGCGAGAAGUAUGCGGAAUGCGUGGUGUAGCGGUGAAAUGCAUAGAUCUCUCGAAAAACGCCGAUUGCGAAGGCAGCAUACCGGCGCCCAACUGACGCU
This 700-nucleotide ribosomal RNA is filed under the name uncultured bacterium. RNAcentral's name for it is "bacterial SSU rRNA". It matches the Rfam family "Bacterial small subunit ribosomal RNA", at positions 62 to 747 of the family's 1533-position model. The record is from RNAcentral.